CUCCAAGGACCAGUGCGACUCGGUCCAGAUUGGACCGUCUCAGGACAAAGUCUGACCCCGUCUUAACCUCACAUCUGAAGAAGAGCACAGGUGACAGAAGAACCAACACAAAGCUCAGAGAGUGAUGGUGACACAAGAUCACAGGUGACAGAGGCAGCUCUGCCAUGUUGUAGCUCGGACAGAGGUGAAGAGGCGAGGUCACAGGUGACUGACUGAUGAUUUGGUGCUAUAGAUUAACGAGAGG
This is a long non-coding RNA of Pelmatolapia mariae (spotted tilapia), 244 nucleotides long. RefSeq lists it as uncharacterized. The transcript is spliced from 3 exons. The record is from RefSeq and is a predicted model, not a curated record. Lineage: Eukaryota; Metazoa; Chordata; Actinopteri; Cichliformes; Cichlidae.